RNAcentral lists this ribosomal RNA (253 nucleotides) under uncultured bacterium. RNAcentral describes it as "partial 16S ribosomal RNA". It matches the Rfam family "Bacterial small subunit ribosomal RNA", at positions 524 to 776 of the family's 1533-position model. The record is from RNAcentral.
GACGUAGGGCGCGAGCGUUGUCCGGAUUUAUUGGGCGUAAGGAGCUCGUAGGCGGCUUGUCGCGUCGUCCGUGAAAACCUGGGGCUCAACUGUGGGCUUGCAGCUGAUACGGGCAGGCUUGAGUUCGGUAGGGGAGACUGGAAUUCCUGGUGUAGCGGUGAAAUGCGCAGAUAUCAGGAGGAACACCGGUGGCGAAGGCGGGUCUCUGGGCCGAUACUGACGCUGAGGAGCGAAAGCGUGGAGAGCGAACAGG